This is a non-coding RNA of Electrophorus electricus (electric eel), 842 nucleotides long. The record is from RefSeq and is a predicted model, not a curated record. Lineage: Eukaryota; Metazoa; Chordata; Actinopteri; Gymnotiformes; Gymnotidae.
UUAAAAGUGAAAACCGGAUUAAUGUAAUUUCGGCAAACAUCGACAAAACAUUUGCUUGCAUUUUGAAUAUGAAGCUUGAAUGCAAAUAUGGAAAGUGCCAACCUAAGUCAGUAGCAAAGGACUCCAGGCUAAGCAGCCUUAAACAGAGAAGGGAGCUGCACAAGAGGCUGGAGACAGAAGCCACAUCCAUCUGCCAGGAGAUGGAGCUCAAAAUCUGGGCCUUGAAGGAGGCAUGGGCCACACAUGAAAAAAUCAGAUGGGGAGAGAGAGAAGAAACAGCGGGCAGUUGAGCUUCUCCAUGAUCUCAGCACCUUUGUGGAGGGAGAGCAGGAGAAACCAUGCAGAGAGAAGAUCCUGGAGGACACUGCAGAGCUCAACAUGAGACUGGGUGUAUGUGUGUGUGUUUCACACUGUGCAAAGCAAAACAGUGCUGGUUAUUAACAUACCACAAAAAUGACCAAGAAUCCUGAGCUGUCAGAGAUGCAGUGUCUCAUAGUAGCACAGUGACUACAGAAGUGAUUGAGACUGAGAAGAGAGAGAGCACUGAAAUAAAAAAAGAAGGGAGAACAUAAAGAGAAAGCAAAGAGGCUAGAGGAAUAAUGCAAAAAAGAUCGAGAGAAGAAAACAGGAAGUGAUGGAGAAGUGAGGAGGCUGGACAAGGAAGGAGGAAGAACAAAGAAGAGAUGGAGGCUGAAAUGAGCAUUUUCAGCACAUGGGCCAGCUGCAGCUCUGAGAGGUCCAAACUGUAAAACAUUAUGAGCUGCUAGGUUGUUUUUUUUUUUGUCUGUGAGCUACAAGCCUGGUUUGUAGUUCCGAGGCAGGAUUGCAAUUGCUAGUUAAAA